This 334-nucleotide ribosomal RNA is filed under the name uncultured eukaryote. Its description in RNAcentral is "partial 18S ribosomal RNA". It matches the Rfam family "Eukaryotic small subunit ribosomal RNA", at positions 1470 to 1796 of the family's 1831-position model. The record is from RNAcentral.
CCCUUAGAUGUCCGGGGCCGCACGCGCGCUACACUGAAGGAAUCAGCGUGGCUUUCUCCCUGACCCGAAAGGGUUGGGAAACCCGUUGAAUCUCCUUCGUGAUAGGGAUUGGGGAUUGAAAUUGUUCCCCAUGAACGAGGAAUUCCCAGUAAGCGCGAGUCAUAAGCUCGCGUUGAUUACGUCCCUGCCCUUUGUACACACCGCCCGUCGCUACUACCGAUUGAACGGUUUAGUGAGGGCCUCGGAUUGGUCUCGGCCCGCUCUUUACCGGGCGGCGCCGUUGGUCGAGAAGACGCUCGAACUUGAUCGUUUAGAGGAAGUAAAAGUCGUAACA